CGUUCCCGGGCCUUGUACACACCGCCCGUCACACCACGAAAGUCGGUAACACCCGAAGCCAGUGGCCCAACCCUUUUGGGAGGGAGCUGUCGAAGGUGGGAUCGGUGAUUGGGGUG
Molecule: ribosomal RNA, 116 nt
Filed under: uncultured bacterium
Lineage: Bacteria
Description: partial 16S ribosomal RNA
Rfam family: Bacterial small subunit ribosomal RNA
Source: RNAcentral